This 378-nucleotide unclassified non-coding RNA is filed under the name uncultured Chlamydiales bacterium. Its description in RNAcentral is "contains 16S-23S intergenic spacer region". Lineage: Bacteria; Pseudomonadati; Chlamydiota; Chlamydiia; Chlamydiales. The record is from RNAcentral.
UCCUGGUUAACCCAGGCAGUCUCGUUAGAGUUCCCGCCUUUACGCGUUGGCAACUAACGAUAAGGGUUGCGCUCGUUGCUGGACUUAACCAAACACCUCACGGCACGAGCUGACGACAGCCAUGCAGCACCUAUAUAGAGACCCUUUCGGGAACUACCAUCUCUGGUAGCGUCCUCUACAUUUCGAGCCCAGGUAAGGUUCUUCGCGUUGCAUCGAAUUAAACCACAUGCUCCACUGCUUGUGCGGGCCCCCGUCAAUUCUUUUGAGUUUCACCCUUGCGAGCGUACUCCCCAGGCGGCAUACUUAACGCGUUAGCUCCGAUACAGAAAGGGUUGAGCCCCCCUACAUCUAGUAUGCAUCGUUUAUAGCAAGGACUAC